GAGUUUGAUCAUGGCUCAGAACGAACGCUGGCGGCAUGCCUAACACAUGCAAGUCGAACGAGAUCUUCGGAUCUAGUGGCGCACGGGUGCGUAACGCGUGGGAAUCUGCCCUUGGGUGCGGAAUAACUUCUCGAAAGGGAUGCUAAUACCGCAUAAUGUCGUAAGACCAAAGAUUUAUCGCCCAAGGAUGAGCCCGCGUAAGAUUAGCUAGUUGGGUGGGGUAAAAGCCUACCAAGGCGACGAUCUUUAGCUGGUCUGAGAGGAUGAUCAGCCACACUGGGACUGAGACACGGCCCAGACUCCUACGGGAGGCAGCAGUGGGGAAUUAUUGGACAAUGGGCGAAAGCCUGAUCCAGCAAUGCCGCGUGAGUGAUGAAGG
Molecule: ribosomal RNA, 379 nt
Filed under: uncultured microorganism
Description: bacterial SSU rRNA
Rfam family: Bacterial small subunit ribosomal RNA
Source: RNAcentral